CGCACAGCGAAAGGUGCUUGCACCUUUCAGUGAGUGGCGAACGGAGUGAGUAACACGUGGACAACCUGCCUCAAGGCUGGGGAUAACAUUUGGAAACAGAUGCUAAUACCGAAUAAAACUUAGUGUCGCAUGACAAAAAGUUAAAAGGCGCUUCGGCGUCACCUAGAGAUGGAUCCGCGGUGCAUUAGUUAGUUGGUGGGGUAAAGGCCUACCAAGACAAUGAUGCAUAGCCGAGUUGAGAGACUGAUCGGCCACAUUGGGACUGAGACACGGCCCAAACUCCUACGGGAGGCUGCAGUAGGGAAUCUUCCACAAUGGGCGAAAGCCUGAUGGAGCAACGCCGCGUGUGUGAUGAAGGCUUUCGGGUCGUAAAGCACUGUUGUAUGGGAAGAACAGCUAGAAUAGGAAAUGAUUUUAGUUUGACGGUACCAUACCAGAAAGGGACGGCUAAAUACGUGCCAGCAGCCGCGGUAAUACGUAUGUCCCGAGCGUUAUCCGGAUUUAUUGGGCGUAAAGCGAGCGCAGACGGUUUAUUAAGUCUGAUGUGAAAGCCCGGAGCUCAACUCCGGAAUGGCAUUGGAAACUGGUUAACUUGAGUGCAGUAGAGGUAAGUGGAACUCCAUGUGUAGCGGUGGAAUGCGUAGAUAUAUGGAAGAACACCAGUGGCGAAGGCGGCUUACUGGACUGCAACUGACGUUGAGGCUCGAAAGUGUGGGUAGCAAACAGGAUUAGAUACCCUGGUAGUCCACACCGUAAACGAUGAACACUAGGUGUUAGGAGGUUUCCGCCUCUUAGUGCCGAAGCUAACGCAUUAAGUGUUCCGCCUGGGGAGUACGACCGCAAGGUUGAAACUCAAAGGAAUUGACGGGGACCCGCACAAGCGGUGGAGCAUGUGGUUUAAUUCGAAGCAACGCGAAGAACCUUACCAGGUCUUGACAUCCUUUGAAGCUUUUAGAGAUAGAAGUGUUCUCUUCGGAGACAAAGUGACAGGUGGUGCAUGGUCGUCGUCAGCUCGUGUCGUGAGAUGUUGGGUUAAGUCCCGCAACGAGCGCAACCCUUAUUGUUAGUUGCCAGCAUUCAGAUGGGCACUCUAGCGAGACUGCCGGUGACAAACCGGAGGAAGGCGGGGACGACGUCAGA
RNAcentral lists this ribosomal RNA (1140 nucleotides) under Leuconostoc mesenteroides. RNAcentral's name for it is "bacterial SSU rRNA". It matches the Rfam family "Bacterial small subunit ribosomal RNA", at positions 63 to 1189 of the family's 1533-position model. The record is from RNAcentral. Lineage: Bacteria; Bacillati; Bacillota; Bacilli; Lactobacillales; Lactobacillaceae.